RNAcentral lists this ribosomal RNA (718 nucleotides) under uncultured fungus. RNAcentral describes it as "SSU rRNA". It matches the Rfam family "Eukaryotic small subunit ribosomal RNA", at positions 381 to 1100 of the family's 1831-position model. The record is from RNAcentral. Lineage: Eukaryota; Fungi.
CACCGGAGNGGGAGCCUGAGAAACGGCUACCACAUCCAAGGAUGGCAGCAGGCGCGCAAAUUACCCAAUCCCGACACGGGGAGGUAGUGACAAUAAAUAACAAUACGGGGUUCUUUAGGAUCUCGUAAUUGGAAUGAGUACAAUUUAAAUCUCUUAACGAGGAACAAUUGGAGGGCAAGUCUGGUGCCAGCAGCCGCGGUAAUUCCAGCUCCAAUAGCGUAUAUUAAAGUUGUUGCAGUUAAAAAGCUCGUAGUUGAAUUUCGGGGUUAGUAGGUUGGUCAUGCCUCUGGUAUGUACUGGUCUCACUGAUUCCUCCUUCCUUAUGAACCGUAAUGCCAUUAAUUUGGUGUUGCGGGGAAUUUGGACUGUUACUUUGAAAAAAUUAGAGUGUUUAAAGCAAGCUAACGCUUGAAUACAUUAGCAUGGAAUAAUGAAAUAGGACGUUCGAUCUUAUUUUGUUGGUUUCUAGGAUUGACGUAAUGAUUAAUAGGGAUAGUUGGGGGCAUUAGUAUUCAAUUGUCAGAGGUGAAAUUCUUGGAUUUAUUGAAGACUAACUACUGCGAAAGCAUUUGCCAAGGAUGUUUUCAUUAAUCAAGAACGAAAGUUAGGGGAUCGAAGACGAUCAGAUACCGUCGUAGUCUUAACCAUAAACUAUGCCGACUAGGGAUCGGAUGAUGUUAAUUUUUUAAUGACUCAUUCGGCGCCUUACGGGAAACCA